GCCCCCCUGGCGGAAUUGGUAGACGCACGGGACUCAAAAUCCCGCGCCUUCGGGCAUGCCGGUUCGACUCCGGCGGGGGGCACCA
This 85-nucleotide transfer RNA is filed under the name Alphaproteobacteria bacterium. RNAcentral describes it as "tRNA-Leu". It matches the Rfam family "tRNA". Rfam says of the family: Transfer RNA (tRNA) molecules are approximately 80 nucleotides in length. Lineage: Bacteria; Pseudomonadati; Pseudomonadota; Alphaproteobacteria. The record is from RNAcentral.